RNAcentral lists this ribosomal RNA (1560 nucleotides) under metagenome. RNAcentral's name for it is "bacterial SSU rRNA". It matches the Rfam family "Bacterial small subunit ribosomal RNA". The record is from RNAcentral.
AGGGUAUGAUACUGGCUCAGAACGAACGCUGGCAGCGUGCCUUACACAUGCAAGUCGAGCGCGAAAGUUGGCUUCGGCCAGCGAGUAGAGCGGCGUAAGGGUGAGUAACGCGUGAGUUAACUACCCUGGGGAGUGGGAUAACGGCGGCCGGCUAGUCCGGCCCUCUGGCGAAAGUGCCGCUAAUACCACAUGCUGAACUUCCGGCACCUACUUACUCGUAAGCAGGUCGCCGGGAAUUUGAAAGGUCGCAGGACUUGUCCUGUUGUCCUCCCCAGGAGGUGCUCGCGUCCUAUUAGCUAGUUGGUGGGGUAAUGACCUACCAAGGCGACGAUGGGUAGCCGGCGUGAGAGCGUGGCCGGCCACACUGGAACUGAGACACUGUCCAGAGCCCUACGGGGUGCUGCAGUGGGGAAUAUUGCACAAUGCGCGAAAGCGUGAUGCAGCGACGCUGCGUGUGGGAAUAAGGCCUUCGGGUUGUAAACCACUGUCAGGGGUUAUGAAGUCCAUAGGGAGAAAUUUCUAUGGUUGACAAAGGCCCCAAAGGAAGCCAUGGCUAACUCCGUGCCAGCAGCCGCGGUAAUACGGAGAUGGCAAGCGUUGUUCGGAAUCACUGGGCGUAAAGCGCGCGUAGGCGGUCGGGUAAGUUGGAUGUUGAAUCACCGGGCUCAACCCGGUAACGCCGUCCAAUACUGCCCGACUAGAGGUCGGUAGGGGAGAGUGGAACUCCUGGUGGAGUGGUGAAAUGCGUAGAUAUCAGGAGGAACGUCGGCGGCGAAGGCGACUCUCUGGGCCGAUUCUGACGCUGAGGUGCGAAAGCUAGGGUAGCGAACGGGAUUAGAUACCCCGGUAGUCCUAGCCGUAAACGAUGGGUACUUGGUAGUGGGACUAUGUUUCACUGCCGGAGCUAACGCGUUAAGUACCCCGCCUGGGUAGUACGACCGCAAGGUUAAAACUCAAAGUAAUUGACGGGGGCUCGCACAAGCGGUGGAGCACGCGCCUUAAUUCGAGCCUACGCGAGGAACCUUACCAGGGUUUGACAUGCUAGUGGUACGGACCCGAAAGGGCGAGGACCACGGGUAAGCCGUGGAGCUAGCACAGGUGUUGCAUGGCUGUCGUCAGCUCGUGUCGUGAGAUGUUAGGUUAAGUCCUAUAACGAGCGAAACCCCUGUCUCUAGUUGCUAGCGGGUAAUGCCGAGGACUCUAGAGAGACUGCCGGUGAUAAACCGGAGGAAGGUGGGGACGACGUCAAGUCCUCAUGGCCCUUAUGCCCUGGGCUGGACGCAUGCUACAAUGGCCGGUACAAUGGGAAGCAAUACCGUAAGGUGGAGCGAAGCCAUAAAAGCGGUCCCAGUCCGGAUCGGGGGCUGAAAUUCGCCCCCGUGAAUGUCGGAAUCGCUAGUAAUCGCGGAUCAGCCAUGCCGCGGUGAAUAUGUGCCCGAGCCUUGUACACGCCGCCCGUCAAGCCACGGGAGCUGGGAGCACGUUAAGUCGUGGAUCUAACCUUCGGGAGGAUCGCGCCCACCGUGAACCCGGCAACUGGGACUAAGUCGUAACAAGGUA